AUGGGCUCGCUUCUGAUGCCGCUGCUUGGCAGCGUGGCCGCUAAGGCCGGCGACGCGCUGGUGACCGAGCUGCUGCGGGCGUGGGGGCUGGAUAAGUCCCGCCGGAAGCUGGAGCGCCACCUCGCCGCCGUCCAGUGCAUCCUGCUCGACGCCGACGCCAAGAGCCGCACCAACCCCGCCGUCCGCCGCUGGAUGGUGGACCUCAAGACCGCCGCCUACCAGGCCGACGACGUCCUCGAUGACUUCCUCUACGAGGCGCUGCGCCGCCGUGCCGCCCAGAUCCGCCGACGACGCCGCCGCCGCCGUGCCACCGCACGCAAGGUGCUGAGCUACUUCACCACCAAUAGCCCGGUUGUUUUCCGCCUUUCAAUAAGCAGGAAGAUGAAGGAUGCCCUAGAGAUGAUUGAUGAACUGGUUGUAGAGAUGAACAAUUUCCACUUCCUGCAACAUACCGAAGCACCAUACGUUGAUCAUCCGCAAACACACUCUCAAGUCAAUGAAUCAGAGAUUGUGGGCAGACAAGACGAGAAGGAACAAGUGGUGAAGAUGUUGCUCGACCACUCCAACCACAAUAAUGGUAAUGACAAUGUCAUGGUGCUCCCCAUAAUUGGCAUGGGGGGAAUUGGUAAGACCACACUUGCUCAACUUGUGCUCAAUGACCACAGAAUGGUGCAUCAUUUUGAGUUAGUCUUAUGGGUCUGUGUCUCUGACAAGUUCAUUAUCAUGGAAAUAAUUCGAUCUAUAAUACAAGUGGCCACGCUGAAUAAGUGUGAUUUGACCGAGAUGGAGGCACUGCGGAAGGAACUUGGUCAAGUGUUGGGCAAGAAAAGAUACCUCUUAGUGCUGGAUGAUGUUUGGAAUGAAGAUGGACAGAAGUGGGAUGCUAUGAGAUCAUUGUUAUGCUCACAUGCUGGCUCAGGUAGUGCUAUAAUUGUGACAAGCCGCAGCGACAAAGUUGCAUCUAUCAUGGGCACACUUCCUCCACAUCAGAUAUCGCUUCUAAGUGAUGAUCAAUCAUGGGAGUUCUUUGACAGAAACACAUCUGGAAGAGAAGUAGAAAGGCAAGAGGAAUUUAUUUCAGUCGCAAAGAACAUUGUUGACAAGUGUAAAGGAUUGCCUCUUGCUAUCAAGACCAUAGCCGCUUUACUUCCUUCGAAGAAUCACAAUCAGUGGUUUUCUGUUCUGGAUAGCGAUGUAUGGAAAGAUGACAUUCUCACAACUACUGGGAUUGUACCUGCACUACGACUGAGCUAUGAUCAUUUGUCAUCAGAGGAAAAAAUAUGCUUUUCCUUUUGUUCUAUUUUCCCCAAGGAUAGCCCAAUGGAUAAAGACAUGUUAAUCCAGCUAUGGAUGGCAAAUGACUUUAUUGCAUCAGAAGUAAGAGGCCAGCAAAUUUUUGAUGUGCUAGUUUGGAGAUGUUUCCUACAAGAUGUCAAGAUUCAAAAGAAUCCUAUGGGCAGAUUUAAAGAUGAGUUCUUCCGUGGACCUGCUUGCAAGGUGCAUGAUCUCAUGCAUGACCUCGCUAACUUCGUAAGCGGAAAUGAUUGCUCCAUUCUGCAAGAAUCUUCAUCAUGUCAAGAAAUUAUGCAAGGAUCCACAAACACCUGUUCGUUACAGCAUGAGGUUCGACAUUUGUCACUUGAUUAUGUGAGUAACAAUACUAUUGCAGCCAUGAAGAAAAUUUUAGCUCCCCGAGCCCGCACAAUAUUAGUCCGAAGGGAGUUGGAGUGGACUAAGACUUCUCUGGAUAUGGGCAAGUCUCUGAGUAUGACCAUGUCAAAAUUCAUGUCCUUGCGAGCAUUGAAGAUAUCGUCAAUCUUAACACAUAUGACAAACUUGAAGCAUCUUCGGUAUCUAGAUUGUUCUAAUUCUGAUAUAUCUGCACUGCCUGAAGGCAUUACCAUGUUUUAUAGCUUGCAAGCAUUGAAGCUCACGGGUUGUCGCAAACUUGAGAAAUUACCAGAAGGCAUACGAUAUAUGCUCAGCCUUCGGCAUAUCUUCCUUAAUGGGUGUCAUAGUUUGGAGUGCAUGCCACAUGGUAUUGGUCAGCUGAAUUCUUUACAGACAUUGACGGAUUAUGUCAUUGAUAGUGAUGUGGGCCGUGGAAUUGAUCAACUGAAAGAUUUGAAUCUAGUUGGUGGUCUUUCUUUGACUAAGCUGAGGAAAGUGCAUAGUGCAGAAAAUGCUCAACAAGGCAAUAUGUCUGCUAAGCAUGAUUUGAAAAGAUUGUCACUCGAUUGGGGGGAAAAUAUAUAUACAUGGCGUGAAGUUGAAGUGGAUACUAAUGCAGAAGGAAUAUUAGAGGCCCUUCGUCCGCACAAAAGGCUUGAAGUUUUAGUGUUAUCUAAGUAUAUGGGUGCUAAAUUGCCAUCAUGGAUGCAAAACUCUACACAGUUAGAACAUAUCAGUGAACUUUAUCUGAAAAACUGCAUGAAGUGCAAGGAUCUUCCAUCAUUAUGGCAGCUUCCCUCUCUCUGGUACUUGUGUUUGGAUAGUUUGGAUAGCUUGACCAGUAUAUGUGUUGGUAAUGAUGAUAACGACAGUGGGGAAUCCUGUAUUUCUCCACCACCCUUCUUUCCUAAAUUGAAAACCAUGGACCUUUUCGACAUGCCUAAGCUAGAGAGAUGGCACCGGGAAGUGGCAGGACAAGUAGCAGUUGUAUCAUUCCCUCAGCUCAAGAAGCUAAAAAUUUCCAGAUGCCCGCAUGCCCAAUAUGCUCCCUUUGCUUGA
RNAcentral lists this ribosomal RNA (2730 nucleotides) under Triticum aestivum (bread wheat). Its description in RNAcentral is "partial small subunit ribosomal RNA". Lineage: Eukaryota; Viridiplantae; Streptophyta; Magnoliopsida; Poales; Poaceae. The record is from RNAcentral.